Molecule: long non-coding RNA, 2484 nt
Organism: Gallus gallus (chicken)
Lineage: Eukaryota; Metazoa; Chordata; Aves; Galliformes; Phasianidae
Source: Ensembl
UGUUUUUGUUCAACAUCUUCAUCAAUGACCUGGAUGAAGGGAUAGAGCCCACCCUCAGUAAGUUUUCUGAUGAUACAAAGCUGGGAGGAGUGUAUGACACAGUGCAAGGCUACUAUUCAACAAGACCUGGACAGACUGGAGAUUUGGGCUGGGAGGAACCUGAUGAGUUUUAACAAGAGCAUGUGUACAGUCUUGCACUUUAAGAGGAAUAGCCACAUGCUUCAGUACAGGUUAGGGGAUGACCUGCUGAAGAAGAGCUUUGUGGAGAAGGGCCAAGGUGUUCUGGUGGACAACAGGUUAACCACGCACCAGUAAUUUGCCCUGGUGGCCCAAUGGUAUCCUGCAGUAUAAUUAAAAAGAGCCUGGCCAGCAGGUUGAGGGAGGUGAUCCUCCCCCUCUACUCUGCCUUGGUGAGGCCACAUUUAGAAUACUGUGUCCAGUUAUGGGCUCCCCAGCUCAUAAAAGACAGGGAUCUCCUUCCCGUGGAGGGCCAAACAUGUGAUUAAGGGUCUGGAGCAUCUCCUGUAUGAGGAAAGACCAAGUAACCUGGGUUUAUUCAGACUGGGGAAAAGAAGACUGUGAGGCAAUCUGAUAAAUGUUUUUAAGUAUCUGAAGGGAUCUGAAAAGCAAAUGGAUGAGGCCAGGCUCUUCUCGGUGGUGUGCAGCAGUAGGAAAAGGAGUAAUGGUCUAAAACUUGUACACAGGAAAUUCCAUACUAACAAGCAGAAGAACUUUUUUAUGGUAAGGACAACAGAGCACUGGUACAGGUUGCCCAGAGAGGUUGUGGAGUCUCCUUCCAUGGAGAUAUUCAAGACUUGUCUGGAUGUAGGGUAGUAUGGUUAAGUUGCUGUUGGACUUGAUGAUCUUUAAAGUCUUUUCCAACCUGAGCAGUUCUAUGAUUCUAUGAUUCUAUGGUGCUUACCUGUGCAACCUAUUGUAGGGUACGUGCUUUGGGUGGGGGUGUCUGAACCCUGCUUUGGUUUUAGCUCGAAGCUUGCUUUCUGGGGCAUAUCUUGUGAUAAGACUCUUGACUUAUCUAGGAGAUGAGAGGUGGUUGUUGCCAUGUGGCAAUCAACUUCACUUUGCGGAUAAUUUUACAUUUGAAAGCAUUUCUUUGGAGCUGUUUGCCAAUGGACAAGAAUGCUCAGGACUGUUUCCUGGUGGAAGAUCUGGCCUGUUACCAAGUAACUCCAGCUCAGUAUGGGAAAAAUGGGGAAUUAUACCAUCAUGUCCCAUGAAAAAUAAGAUGCAGGUGGGUACCUCCCAGCUCCCUAUUAUCUGUUCGCAAGGCCCGGAAGAUGGGAACAAAGGAGUUUCUGUGCUGAGAUCCCAAAGCCAGAAGCUGCCACUCCAGAGAAAACUGACUCAACCACUUUGGAUUUGAGCUGUUACUCCAAGGAAAGCUGACUCGACCAAAUUUAUAAAUAAUUUUGUUCUACCAUUGGAAAGUUGUCGUUGUCAACUAAACAGCAACCCCUGAUGACCCACCACUACUGAAGAUCAACGUCUGAACUAUGAGCAAUGCUGGAAUCCAUGGUAGUGACUAUCUCUCUCUUGCUUUCUAUGAAGACUCCUUGCUUUUAUUUUCUAUCUCUUUUAGAUUGCCCAUCUUCCCUUCCUCAUCUUCCUAAGUGACUAGGAUUUGCAAUAAACUGCUCAGGCUAACAUUUAACCUGUUAUGUCUUAAUCUCAGGUAUACAUAUAUUAAAAGAACCUCCCUCCUAUAAAGUGGGGCGAGACAGGGGUGUUGGACUUGAUGGUCUCUUGAGGUCCCUUCAACCCCUGUGAUUCUGUGAUUCUGGGACCCUGUGAUAAGACAUUACCAAGAAAGAGACAUGGUGUAGCUGUGUAAUUUAUAUAGUAUUGUGGGAACCUCCUUUCCAGAAAUAGCCUUUCUAGGGAUGCCACCACAGGUUUCAGUGUGGUUUCUUACGCUUGAGUACAUCUCUUGACUUUGAAUGUAAUACCUCCGCAGCUAAAACAGGCCUAUGCAGAAGUUAUAACAGAAGUGCUACUUUUAGACAGAAAUCAGGAAACUGAUGUGGAUGACUGGAGAUAUGAAAUUGCAUGUUACAAGGUAAGUCUGAAUAUAGGCAGUGUGCAUCAUGUGCAAAAGUAUCUCCCCUGCCAUCUAUAACAGCAAAACUGCUUAGAAUGCAUGUUGACUGCCCUAUCUUGUAAAAGAAGUAUAUGUGUUCAAGUAACUGAACAUGAGAAAAACACCAACAAUUCCAUGGAUGAAACAGAGAGACCUCAAAGAGAAGAUCUGUAUCAAAGAAGAAAUGGAACUGUAAUUCAUUGGCUCUGCCCACUAUAGAUACAGAAGUCAAAGGUGUAAUUCCAACCUCAUCCAGAGGCAUGCUUAUUCCAGCAUUUCUUUGACUCUAUUGAUGUGCAUCAAAGGUGAAUUAAAUCCUGACUUUUAUUGUUUUCUAGAAUGAAAAGACACGUAUAUUCAUGAGAUCUUACAGCAGAUGAAAGACA